CGCGAGAAAACCCUCGUUAAGGAACUCGGCAAAAUGACCCCGUAACUUCGGGAGAAGGGGUACCCCAUUAAUGUGAAAGUUAUCCAACUGGAGCAUGAAGGGGUCGCAGAGAAAAGGCCCAAGCGACUGUUUACCAAAAACACAGGUUCCUGCUAAAUCGCAAGAUGACGUAUAGGAGCUGACGCCUGCCCGGUGCUGGAAGGUUAAGGGGAGAGGUUAGCGCAAGCGAAGCUUUAAACCGAAGCCCCAGUAAACGGCGGCCGUAACUAUAACGGUCCUAAGGUAGCGAAAUUCCUUGUCGGGUAAGUUCCGACCCGCACGAAAGGCGUAACGAUUUGGGCGCUGUCUCAACGAGGGACUCG
This 362-nucleotide non-coding RNA is filed under the name Desulfoscipio gibsoniae DSM 7213. Its description in RNAcentral is "Desulfotomaculum gibsoniae DSM 7213 Bacterial large subunit ribosomal RNA". It matches the Rfam family "Bacterial large subunit ribosomal RNA", at positions 1689 to 2035 of the family's 2925-position model. The record is from Rfam by way of RNAcentral. Lineage: Bacteria; Bacillati; Bacillota; Clostridia; Eubacteriales; Desulfallaceae.